UAGGGAAUCUUCCACAAUGGACGAAAGUCUGAUGGAGCAACGCCGCGUGAGUGAAGAAGGGUUUCGGCUCGUAAACUCUGUUGUUAGAGAAGAACAUAUCUGAGAGUAACUGUUCAGGUAUUGACGGUAUUUAACCAGAAAGCCACGGCUAACUACGUACCAG
RNAcentral lists this ribosomal RNA (163 nucleotides) under uncultured bacterium. RNAcentral's name for it is "partial 16S rRNA". It matches the Rfam family "Bacterial small subunit ribosomal RNA", at positions 355 to 511 of the family's 1533-position model. The record is from RNAcentral.